GAACGCUCGUAGCAAUACGGGAGUGGCAGACGGGUGAGUAACGCGUGGGAACAUACCCUCCGGUUCGGAAUAGCUCAGGGAAACUUGGAUUAAUACCGGAUACGGCCGACAGGCGAAAGAUUUAUCGCCGGAGGAUUGGCCCGCGUUCGAUUAGCUAGUUGGUGAGGUAACGGCUCACCAAGGCGAUGAUCGAUAGCUGGUCUGAGAGGAUGAUCAGCCACAUUGGGACUGAGACACGGCCCAAACUCCUACGGGAGGCAGCAGUGGGGAAUAUUGGACAAUGGGCGCAAGCCUGAUCCAGCCAUGCCGCGUGAGUGAUGAAGGCCUUAGGGUUGUAAAGCUCUUUCGCUCGGGACGAUAAUGACGGUACCGAGAUAAGAAGCCCCGGCUAACUUCGUG
RNAcentral lists this ribosomal RNA (399 nucleotides) under uncultured bacterium. Its description in RNAcentral is "bacterial SSU rRNA". It matches the Rfam family "Bacterial small subunit ribosomal RNA", at positions 64 to 507 of the family's 1533-position model. The record is from RNAcentral.